This 1234-nucleotide ribosomal RNA is filed under the name metagenome. RNAcentral describes it as "bacterial LSU rRNA". It matches the Rfam family "Bacterial large subunit ribosomal RNA", at positions 1564 to 2808 of the family's 2925-position model. The record is from RNAcentral.
UGAGUACGAGAUGCUACGGCAUCGAAGCAGUCUAUGUCAUACUUCCAAGAAAAGCUUGCACUGUCAUAAACAAAGAAUGCCUGUACCAUAACCGACACAGGUGGGUAGGUAGAGUAUACUAAGGGGCGCGAGAUAACUCUCUCUAAGGAACUCGGCAAAAUGACUCCGUAACUUCGGGAGAAGGAGUGCCUUAUUUCUAAGGUUGCAAUAACAAGAUCCAAGCAACUGUUUACCAAAAACACAGGUCUCCGCUAAGUCGUAAGACGAUGUAUGGGGGCUGACGCCUGCCCAGUGCCAGAAGGUUAAAGAAGUUGGUUAGCAUUAGCGAAGCUGAUAACUGAAGCCCUGGUGAACGGCGGCCGUAACGAUAACGGUCCUAAGGUAGCGAAAUUCCUUGUCGGGUAAGUUCCGACCCGCACGAAAGGCGUAAUGAUUUGGAUACUGUCUCGGAGAGGGGCUCGGUGAAAUAGACUUGUCUGUGAAGAUGCGGACUACCUGCACCUGGACAGAAAGACCCUAUGAAGCUUUACUGUAACUUGAGAUUGAAAUUGGACUUAUUUGCGCAGUAUAGGUGGGAGGCGUUGAGAAUAAUCUUGCGGGAUUGUUGGAGCCAUCAGUGAGAUACCACUCUUGUAAUGUUAGAUUUCUAACUUUGUAUCAUUAUCUGGUCAAAGAACAGUUUCAGGCGGGCAGUUUGACUGGAGCGGUCGCCUCCCAAAGGGUAACGGAGGCGCACAAAGGUUUCCUCUGAACGGGUAGAAAUCGUAUCUAGAGUGUAAAGGCAUAAGGAAGCUUGACUGUGAGACCUACAAGUCGAGCAGGGACGAAAGUCGGUCUUAGUGAUCUGACGGUGCUGAGUGGAAAGGCCGUCGCUCAACGGAUAAAAGUUACUCUAAGGAUAACAGGCUGAUCUCCCCCAAGAGUUCACAUCGACGGGGAGGUUUGGCACCUCGAUGUCGGCUCAUCGCAUCCUGGGGCGGUAGUCCGUCCCAAGGGUUGGGCUGUUCGCCCAUGAAAGCGGUACGCGAGCUGGGUUCAGAACGUCGUGAGACAGUUCGGUCCAUAUCCGGUGUAGGCGUUAGAAUAUUGAGAGGAGCCUUCUCUAGUACGAGAGGACCGAGAAGGACAUACCUCUGGUGUACCAGUUAUCGUGCCAACGGUAAACGCUGGGUAGCUAUGUAUGGAGUGGAUAACCGCUGAAAGCAUCUAAGUGGGAAGCCCACCUCAAGAUAAG